CAAAUGAACAAAUUUCAUUUCCAAAAGAAGAAGGGCAAAUAUGUAAUUUCACAUUUAAAAAGGACAAAUUUUAAUUUCAAUAGUAAGAUUUUAUAGAUCCAUUCCUCUUCCACCUUUGCAGAACAUCGGUCUUUAUUCAAACAAAAAAGUUCAAUUCAUUCCUAGCACAAAGACUUACUCAAACAUGAUUCUAAAGCAUAAUUUCUUCCAACUCUCUUCUUUCAACAACCAUUAAUCGAUUUGCAAUUCAAAACUUCAGUUUCAUCAGCUUCAAAUAUAAUAUGUACCUUCUAAGAGAAAAGAUGAGGUAGGAAUGAUGUGUGCUUAAUUUAAGGCGUUUCUUGAUUCUACUAGAGUAUUCUAGAGAACGACAGGCAAACCAACAGGCAUUUUCUUCAGUACUAGCUCUCAAGGAGGUGGCGAAGACACUACCACGUUAGUUCCUUCUUUGAAUUCAAUGUGCGAUUUAAAAUAAGCUAUAUAUUCUUAUAUAUGAAUACAAAUGAUUUUAGUAAAAUUAAAUAGCUAUUGAUCUGCAGAUAUGAAACCCAUCUUAAGAUAAAAAUUAUUGAUAAAAUUUUUUAUAUCAACAAACUUCUUGCU
This is a long non-coding RNA of Solanum lycopersicum (tomato), 603 nucleotides long. RefSeq lists it as uncharacterized. The record is from RefSeq and is a predicted model, not a curated record. NCBI's taxonomy places the organism in Eukaryota, Viridiplantae, Streptophyta, Magnoliopsida, Solanales, Solanaceae.